Molecule: long non-coding RNA, 242 nt
Organism: Gopherus flavomarginatus (Mexican gopher tortoise)
Lineage: Eukaryota; Metazoa; Chordata; Testudines; Testudinidae
Exons: 3
Source: RefSeq, a predicted model, not a curated record
CUUGGCUCCUCCAUGACAACAGCGUGUGAUGGAGCGGGCGGGCGCAGCGGGGCAGCACUGGGUCUCCGGCGGCGGGGAAGGAUGUUGGCAAUUUGUAGGAUGGGAGCUGCGGGAGCAGACUGCCUGGCCAUGCCUCUGUCUAGGAGCCGGACAUACUGGGUGUUUCAGGGGUUCACCACGAUUUCCAGGCUUUCCAGAAGGACCAGCUGAACCAUGAGGACCUGGAGCACCAGCGGCACCAG